RNAcentral lists this ribosomal RNA (123 nucleotides) under Haloarcula marismortui. RNAcentral also lists the same sequence under 4 other names. The record is from RNAcentral. Lineage: Archaea; Methanobacteriati; Methanobacteriota; Halobacteria; Halobacteriales; Haloarculaceae.
AUAGGCGGCCACCGCGGUGGGGUUGCCUCCCGUACCCAUCCCGAACACGGAAGAUAAGCCCACCAGCGUUCCGGGGAGUACUGGAGUGCGCGAGCCUCUGGGAAAUCCGGUUCGCCGCCACCA